RNAcentral lists this long non-coding RNA (741 nucleotides) under Homo sapiens (human). RNAcentral's name for it is "HSALNT0250672". The record is from RNAcentral. Lineage: Eukaryota; Metazoa; Chordata; Mammalia; Primates; Hominidae.
AACAUGCCCUAUUUAGCCCUCAAUGCAUAUACUGCUGCCUUUCUGAGGUCUUGAAGUCAAUGAAAUAAAUUACUCUAAAAAGAAGUGCUAUGCAGCCCCUUAGAACAGUAAACAAGAACAGUUCAGGUCUUUUCAGGAACCUGAAGCCAAGGGAUGGUUUGUUUUUUUGGUCUCCAGGAAGAACCAGUACAGAAGGAGGUAUUGACCUCGCUACUUUGGCUGGCACCCACCAGGUCCCUUCCUGGCGCUCACAUUCCCCAAGUGUGUAACUCAACACCUGUCCUUCUGCGGCAAACAGAGCUUACAGUGAUGGCUGAGCCCCUCCUGCCCUGGCCCUACCGGCAGCUCGCACCUUUCACUUAGGAUUUCAAACUCUCAAAAACCAGAGUCAGAGAAUAAAUUCUCCCUCAGGAUUCUGGUUUGGGCCAGGAAAAAAAAAAUAAUCAGAAAAACAACUCCCACAAGAAGUCCUGGGAUCAGCACAGCAAUCUCUUUCUAGCUCCAGACCUAGAUGAGGGAAGGUGUAGGGAUCUUAGAGACCUCUAAAUCUCACAAGUGGCUCCCUCUGAACCAGAGAGGGGCAUGUGGUCUGAGUGAUGUCCUCUUUUACUGUUUGAAUGCCAGCUCAUCUGAGCUACACAACACCCCCUGUUAUUUCUGUCUGACAUGGCCAAGCUGAAUCUCUGGUAAGUAAAUAAUUAAUUUGGAAGUUGGGGAUGUCAGUGGAAAAGUCGGCUCUGA